UGCUGGCGGCCCCAACCUCGA
This 21-nucleotide unclassified non-coding RNA is filed under the name Mus musculus (house mouse). RNAcentral describes it as "oocyte_clustered_small_RNA11713". The record is from RNAcentral. Lineage: Eukaryota; Metazoa; Chordata; Mammalia; Rodentia; Muridae.